RNAcentral lists this ribosomal RNA (497 nucleotides) under uncultured bacterium. Its description in RNAcentral is "partial 16S ribosomal RNA". It matches the Rfam family "Bacterial small subunit ribosomal RNA", at positions 28 to 507 of the family's 1533-position model. The record is from RNAcentral.
GAUGAACGCUGGCGGCGUGCCUAAUACAUGCAAGUCGAGCGAACAGACGAGGAGCUUGCUCCUCUGACGUUAGCGGCGGACGGGUGAGUAACACGUGGAUAACCUACCUAUAAGACUGGGAUAACUUCGGGAAACCGGAGCUAAUACCGGAUAAUAUAUUGAACCGCAUGGUUCAAUAGUGAAAGACGGUUUUGCUGUCACUUAUAGAUGGAUCCGCGCCGCAUUAGCUAGUUGGUAAGGUAACGGCUUACCAAGGCAACGAUGCGUAGCCGACCUGAGAGGGUGAUCGGCCACACUGGAACUGAGACACGGUCCAGACUCCUACGGGAGGCAGCAGUAGGGAAUCUUCCGCAAUGGGCGAAAGCCUGACGGAGCAACGCCACGUGAGUGAUGAAGGUCUUCGAAUCGUAAAACUCUGUUAUUAGGGAAGAACAAAUGUGUAAGUAACUAUGCACGUCUUGACGGUACCUAAUCAGAAAGCCACGGCUAACUACGUG